RNAcentral lists this ribosomal RNA (253 nucleotides) under uncultured bacterium. Its description in RNAcentral is "partial small subunit ribosomal RNA". It matches the Rfam family "Bacterial small subunit ribosomal RNA", at positions 26 to 280 of the family's 1533-position model. The record is from RNAcentral.
AGGAUGAACGCUAGCGGCAGGCUUAACACAUGCAAGUCGAGGGGUAGAGUUAGCUUGCUAACUUGAGACCGGCGCACGGGUGCGUAACGCGUAUGCAAUCUACCUUUUACAGGGGGAUAGCCCAGAGAAAUUUGGAUUAAUACCCCAUGGUAUUAUAGAAUGGCAUCAUUUUAUAAUUAAAGUCGCAACGGUAAAAGAUGAGCAUGCGUCCCAUUAGUUAGUUGGUAAGGUAACGGCUUACCAAGACUAUGAU